GACGAACGCUGGCGGCGUGCUUAACACAUGCAAGUCGAACGGAAAGGCCCUGCUUUUGUGGGGUGCUCGAGUGGCGAACGGGUGAGUAACACGUGAGUAACCUGCCCUUGACUUUGGGAUAACUUCAGGAGACUGGGGCUAAUACCGGAGAGGAGCUCCUGCAGCAUGGUGGGGGUUGGAAAGUUUCGGCGGUUGGGGAUGGACUCGCGGCUUAUCAGCUUGUUGGUGGGGUAGUGGCGUACCAGGGCUUUGACGGGUAGCAGGCCUGGGAGGGUGACCGGCCACAUUGGGACUGCGAUACGGCGCAGAAGCGUACGGGAGGCAGCAGUGGGGAAUCUUACAGAAUGGGCGGAAGCGUGAUGCAGCAACGCCGCGUGCGGGAUGACGGCUUUCGGGUUGUAAACCGCUUUCGCCUGUGACGAAGCGUGAGUGACGGUAAUGGGUAAAGAAGCACCGGCUAACUACGUG
This 468-nucleotide ribosomal RNA is filed under the name uncultured bacterium. RNAcentral's name for it is "partial 16S ribosomal RNA". It matches the Rfam family "Bacterial small subunit ribosomal RNA", at positions 28 to 507 of the family's 1533-position model. The record is from RNAcentral.